GCAGUGGUGGUUCAGUGGUAGAACUCUGGCCUUCCAUAUGGAAGACCUGGGUUGGACUCCCAACCAAUGCA
This 71-nucleotide transfer RNA is filed under the name Loxodonta africana (African savanna elephant). It matches the Rfam family "tRNA". From Rfam's summary of the family: Transfer RNA (tRNA) molecules are approximately 80 nucleotides in length. Their secondary structure includes four short double-helical elements and three loops (D, anti-codon, and T loops). Further hydrogen bonds mediate the characteristic L-shaped molecular structure. tRNAs have two regions of fundamental functional importance: the anti-codon, which is responsible for specific mRNA codon recognition, and the 3' end, to which the tRNAs corresponding amino acid is attached (by aminoacyl-tRNA synthetases). tRNAs cope with the degeneracy of the genetic code in two manners: having more than one tRNA (with a specific anti-codon) for a particular amino acid; and 'wobble' base-pairing, i.e. permitting non-standard base-pairing at the 3rd anti-codon position. Lineage: Eukaryota; Metazoa; Chordata; Mammalia; Proboscidea; Elephantidae. The record is from Rfam by way of RNAcentral.